GAGGGUAUAGCUCAGUGGUAGAGCAAAUGACUAGCAUGCAGGAGGUCCUGGGUUCAAUCUCCAGUACCUCCA
This 72-nucleotide transfer RNA is filed under the name Camelus bactrianus (Bactrian camel). It matches the Rfam family "tRNA". From Rfam's summary of the family: Transfer RNA (tRNA) molecules are approximately 80 nucleotides in length. Their secondary structure includes four short double-helical elements and three loops (D, anti-codon, and T loops). Further hydrogen bonds mediate the characteristic L-shaped molecular structure. tRNAs have two regions of fundamental functional importance: the anti-codon, which is responsible for specific mRNA codon recognition, and the 3' end, to which the tRNAs corresponding amino acid is attached (by aminoacyl-tRNA synthetases). tRNAs cope with the degeneracy of the genetic code in two manners: having more than one tRNA (with a specific anti-codon) for a particular amino acid; and 'wobble' base-pairing, i.e. permitting non-standard base-pairing at the 3rd anti-codon position. Lineage: Eukaryota; Metazoa; Chordata; Mammalia; Artiodactyla; Camelidae. RNAcentral also lists the same sequence under 3 other names. The record is from Rfam by way of RNAcentral.